UCGAACGAGCGAGAGAGAGCUUGCUUUCUUGAGCGAGUGGCGAACGGGUGAGUAACGCGUGAGUAACCUGCCCUAGAGUGGGGGACAACAGUUGGAAACGACUGCUAAUACCGCAUAAGCCCACGGUACCGCAUGGUACUGAGGGAAAAGGAUUUAUUCGCUUUAGGAUGGACUCGCGUCCAAUUAGCUAGUUGGUGAGGUAACGGCCCACCAAGGCGACGAUUGGUAGCCGGACUGAGAGGUUGAACGGCCACAUUGGGACUGAGACACGGCCCAGACUCCUACGGGAGGCAGCAGUGGGGGAUAUUGCACAAUGGGGGAAACCCUGAUGCAGCGACGCCGCGUGGAGGAAGAAGGUUUUCGGAUUGUAAACUCCUGUCGUUAGGGACGAUAAUGACGGUACCUAACAAGAAAGCACCGGCUAACUACGUGCCAGCAGCCGCGGUAAAACGUAGAGUGCAAGCGUUGUCCGGAAUUACUGGGUGUAAAGGGAGCGCAGGCGGGAAGACAAGUUGGAAGUGAAAACCAUGGGCUCAACCCAUGAAUUGCUUUCAAAACUGUUUUUCUUGAGUAGUGCAGAGGUAGAUGGAAUUCCCGGUGUAGCGGUGGAAUGCGUAGAUAUCGGGAGGAACACCAGUGGCGAAGGCGGU
RNAcentral lists this ribosomal RNA (650 nucleotides) under uncultured Lachnospiraceae bacterium. RNAcentral describes it as "bacterial SSU rRNA". It matches the Rfam family "Bacterial small subunit ribosomal RNA", at positions 62 to 725 of the family's 1533-position model. Lineage: Bacteria; Bacillati; Bacillota; Clostridia; Lachnospirales; Lachnospiraceae. The record is from RNAcentral.